RNAcentral lists this ribosomal RNA (500 nucleotides) under uncultured bacterium. Its description in RNAcentral is "partial 16S ribosomal RNA". It matches the Rfam family "Bacterial small subunit ribosomal RNA", at positions 30 to 523 of the family's 1533-position model. The record is from RNAcentral.
AUUGAACGCUGGCGGCAUGCCUUACACAUGCAAGUCGAACGGCAGCACGGGAGCAAUCCUGGUGGCGAGUGGCGAACGGGUGAGUAAUAUAUCGGAACGUGCCCAGUCGUGGGGGAUAACGUAGCGAAAGCUACGCUAAUACCGCAUACGAUCUACGGAUGAAAGCGGGGGAUCGCAAGACCUCGCGCGAUUGGAGCGGCCGAUAUCAGAUUAGCUAGUUGGUGAGGUAAAGGCUCACCAAGGCGACGAUCUGUAGCUGGUCUGAGAGGACGACCAGCCACACUGGAACUGGGACACGGUCCAGACGCCUACGGGAGGCAGCAGUGGGGAAUUUUGGACAAUGGGCGCAAGCCUGAUCCAGCAAUGCCGCGUGCAGGAUGAAGGCCUUCGGGUUGUAAACUGCUUUUGUACGGAACGAAACGGUGAGCUCUAAUACAGUUUGCUAAUGACGGUACCGUAAGAAUAAGCACCGGCUAACUACGUGCCAGCAGCCGCCGUAA